Molecule: ribosomal RNA, 497 nt
Filed under: uncultured bacterium
Lineage: Bacteria
Description: partial 16S ribosomal RNA
Rfam family: Bacterial small subunit ribosomal RNA
Source: RNAcentral
GAUGAACGCUGGCGGCGUGCCUAAUACAUGCAAGUCGAGCGAACAGAUCAGGCGCUUGCUCCUUUCACGUUAGCGGCGGACGUGUGAGUAACACGUGGAUCCCCUCCCUAUAUGACUGAUAUAACUCCGGGAAACCGGGGCUAAUGCGGGAUGACAUUUAGAACCGCAUGGUUCUAAAGUGAAAUAUGGUUGUGCUAUCACUUAUAGAUGGACCCGGGCCGUAUUAGCUAGUUGUUAAGUUAACGGCUUACCAAGGCAACGAUACGUAGCCGACGUGAGAGGGGGAUCGGCGACACGGGAAGUGAGACAGGGUCCAGACGCCUACGAGAGGGAGCAGUAGGGAAUGGUAGGCAGUGGGCGAAAGCAUGACGGAGCAACGCGGAGUGAGUGAUGAAGGUGCUCGGAUCGUAAUAAUCUGUUAUUAGGGAAGAACCAAUGUGUAAGUAACUGUGCAGGGAGUGACGGUAACUAAUCAGAAAGCAACGGCUAACUACGUG